This 11189-nucleotide long non-coding RNA is filed under the name Vitis vinifera (wine grape). RNAcentral's name for it is "long non-coding RNA (VVIN_LNC005606)". The record is from RNAcentral. Lineage: Eukaryota; Viridiplantae; Streptophyta; Magnoliopsida; Vitales; Vitaceae.
AAUGAAAGAUGGUUAUACUUUGACUGAUGCUUUCCGGAAAAAGGUUUCUCAAAGUUGGUUAAAAACCAAUGCUGGGUAUAGGUCUCCAGGCCAAAGUUUGUUGUUUGGCUCUGAGUGGGGUUCUUUCUUACACAGAAACGAUGGACCUUUCAUUGAUGAAGAAUUCUAUGGCCCCAACAUUACAGCCUACAAGAACGAGCUCGAAGAAAUAGGAGUGACCAUUGAUGUGUUAAAUGGGUGCUCUUUGCUUGCUGGCUAUCUUGAUUUUCAUUCUGAAUUUUCAACCAUUGUUCGAGUCUAUAAUUACUUGAAUAAACACGGCUGGUCGCCUUGCAAUGAUACUCCUAGAAGGAUCUGGAUCCCUAAUGGGAGUGACAGUGGAGAGUGGGUUAGUCCUGAAAAAUGUGUUAUUCACGACAAGGAUGGUCUCUUCAGUUCACGACUGAAUGUUUUAGAGAAACACUAUAAGCCGGAAUUAUUCAGCCUUUUCUGCAGAGUCAUGCAAGUUAAAUCCAAUCCUUCUAUUGAUGACUACUGCGAACUUUGGAAUAACUGGGAAAAUUCAAGGGAGCAAUUGUCACGUUCGGAGUGUUGUGCUUUCUGGGCCCAUGUUUCAAAGCACUGGAGUAAAAACACACAGAAAACCCUUGCCGACAGAUUGUCAAAACUGCCAGUUGAAUCAGGAUCGGAGAGAAUAAUGCUGUUUGACAAACGUGAUGUUUUCAUUGCAGAUGACCUCCAGCUGAAGUAUCUUUUCCAACAAUCUUCGCCUCACUCAAUAUUUGUGUGGUAUCCCCAGCCAAGCAUCCCUUCCUUGCCCCGGACUAAGCUGCUUGACAUCUACAGGGAAAUUGGUGUUCGUUCUAUCUCUAAAUCUGUACAGAAGGAAGAAAUCUCCAAGUUGGAGGCCAGUGAACUCAAGCAAGCGUCUCAGAAGGAAACUUUGAUCGGAAAAGGCCUGCUGAAACUCAUUCUUGGCUUUCUCGCUGGUCCUUCUAUUGAAAUGGAAGCAGGACAAAGGCUGGACGCUGUCAAAGGCCUUCUCAAUCUUAAGGUGUUUGAGACGGAGGAGUCAAUUGCAGCAAGCUAUAGAUUGUCAAUGUCUUCAGGGGAAACCAUGGCCGUUGAUGCAAGACGAAUGAUGCGCUGGGACCGGGAGGAUUCCAAUCUUUUCAUGCAGAAGAUGGAGAUAUCGGGUGGACAUAAAAAUAAAAUCGAAUAUGGUACAAUCUUCGCUGAAGUAAUAUCAGAGGGCGUCUUACAGGAGAAAGAAGACCAUAUACCUGAUCUCGCCGAACUGAUCAUGUUGGCAUUCCUCCUGGAUUUUGAUGAGGAAGCAGUUGGGUUCUUAAUGAGAUCCAAGAAUCUCCAAGUUUUCUUGGAGGACGAGGAGUUUCUCUCCUCAGCCCUUCCUGUCGACUAGGUAUCAUUUUCCUUAUAUUUACCCCCUGUUUGCAGUCUCUACUGGUAUGUGCUAUUAGAAUAUUAAUAUGUAAUAUAUAUGAAUCUGGUGUGUAGUAAACCUGAUAUUGUGAUAAUUAUGUCCUUGUGCUUGCCUUUUUAAGUAAAGGAGAUGUUAAGAUAUCCUAAUUUUUCCAUUUGUUUUCAAACAAUGCUAUGUUUGGUCCCCAAAAAAUAUGAGGGAGAAUGUGAGGGAAAAAAACUUAAAGAAAAAAAGUAAAAAAUAAAAAAUAGAUUUAAAAUUAAUAAAUUAUUUUAUAAUUAUUUCAAAUCCAUUUAACAUAUUUUUUCUUUUCUAUGUAAAGAUUAAAUCAUUUUAAAAUAUAUAAAUUUUUAACUAAUUAUAAUUAUAUUGGAUUUUCUUUUAUAUUUUUCAUAUUGUAAUCACACAUGAGAAAUUUAUUUUCUUUAAUAAUUUUUUUCUUAAUACUUUUUGGGAACAAAAAAAAAAAACUUAUAUUAUAAGAAUUGAACUUAACAUAUCAAAUUAUAAAAAUAAAAUUACAAUAUAUCAUCCUCAAAAUAGAUGGUUGCAAUUUAUCUUUUUUUGUCAUCAUUAAUUAUUUUUUAAAUAAGUCUAUUAUUUGCUAUAUUGAAUACUCCAUCUCAAUACCUAAAUUUAUCACUUGAAGAGAAUUUUUCUCCCCCUUUUGACCCACUUCUCUCGUAACCACUUUGAAAGAUUUUUCCUGUUAUAUUUAGAGCCCGUUUGGUAAUGAUUCUAGUGGAAGUGUUUUUAUUUUAAGUGUUUUCUGUUAUAGUGUUUCUGUGAAAAACACUUUUAUGAUAAUCAGAAAAAAUGAUUCUAAAGUGUUUUUGAUAAUAUAUUGUAUAAAUAUAAAAACACUUUUAAUAUUAAUAAAUUACCAAAAAGGACAUACAAUUUUAAUUAAAAAAAUGAUAUGAUAAACAAAAAAACUUUUUAUUAAUGAAAAAACAUCUAAAUCACUAAAAAAAUAACAUUAAAUAAAAGAUAAUUUUAAAAUUAAAACAAUAUAUGAUUACCUAUUAAUUUCUAUAAAAAAAAAAGACUUUUUUAAUUAAAAAUAAUAAUUUUUUUAUCACUAUACUAAAAUUUUAAAAAAUAUUUACAAAAAACAUCUAAAUCAAUAAAUAAAUAAAAACAUUGAAUAAAAGAUAAUUUUAAAAGUAAAACAAUAUAUGACCACCUAUUAAUUUCUAAAAAAAAAAAAGAUUUUUCUAAUUGAUUUAUCACUGGGGGCAUUUUUGGAAUAUUUCAAAAAAAUUGAAGUGUUUUUUUAAAAAAAAUGAUUCUCUAAAAAUCACCUCAAGUGUUUUUCCAGAUUUUAAAAAGUGUUUUUUAAAAUUUGCCAAACACUUUAUUUUCAUCCCAAAAACACUUAAAAGUGUUUUUAAGGGUAGAAACACUUUUAAAAAUCACUGCCAAACGGGCUCUUAGUGUUUCUUUUUUAUUAAAUGUUCUUGAAUUAUUAUUGCUCAUUUUUGUUAAAUUGUUAUUAUUGAUGAGCGGUGGUUAUUGUUAUUGAUGAAUCUUUUAACCGAAUACUUUAAAUCUCUUCUUUAACUUUCAAUUAAGUAUAUUUAAAAAAAUAAAAAAUGAGAAGUAAAUUAAUUUAAAGUAAAUUUAAAAUUUUCCAUAAAAUUUAUCCAUCAUUUUCCAACUUUACACUUUUAAAUAUAAUUUAUUUCUAAUUUUAAAAAGUAUUAAAGAUUUAUAUUUUUCUUCAAUCACAAUUCCCACCAAACUAGAUUUUUGUUGGAUUAAUUUUUGUUUUCAAAUAUCAUAAUGAUAGUCAUGUUUAAUUACAAGAGCACCUUUAAACUAGUGUUUUUACUUUUUGAAACACAAAAUUGAAUAGGAUAGAAUUAAGAAUAAAAAAAAUGAGAUCUAAAUUCAAUAUAAAUAAAUUUAAACUUUCCACGUGGCUGUUAAUUAUUGGGCAACACUCCGAAAAGCUCCGACUUUAAAAUCUCACCGUUCGCCUCCUAGGAGACCUGAGCAAGUCUCCUUGCCCGUACACCCCCUUUUCCUCUGUCUUACUCUUUCGCGUAGACGUCGACUUCGUUGGUUACUUACUACUUUCUCCACAGGUUUACUUCUCCACUAAGUUUAUCACUCUCAAAACCACAAGGAUUUGGCAUUGGAUUGCGUGUCUCAAAGUGUGUAUAUAUAAUUAUGUAUAUGUAUGACACUUCUUCGGUGUGAUGUCGUUUGGUGCUCUUGGCAUCUCUCUACUAAGAGUGAAGACUGAAGAGGAGUACUUUGAGUGAAUCGAGAAGGAGUAGUAAUGGCGACGCCGAAAGAGCAUAUAGAAGAGAUAAGGAGGACGAAGUUCUCGAUCGGAGGAGAGCUGAAUCCUCUGACGGAGGAUCUUCACCAGGCGGUCAAGAAUCUCUCUGCUGAGCUUUACGCUAAGGAUGUUCAUUUCCUCAUGGAGCUCAUUCAGGUUUGUUUUUAAUACGUUUCUCUUGUUUUUUGAGAUGUAAUCGGCACUGUGUUGUAUGCGGGGAUUGUUUUGUUAUAUUAUUUAAUAUUUUGACCCUUGUCUUGUUCAUCAGUUCCGUUGUCAGAAAACGGAGGAAAAUGAAACGUAUGGAACUUUUGUGUAUUUUGUUUUCUUCAUGUGGUUUUUGUUUCUUGGAGGUGACGGACUGGAGAUUGUACUUCCAAAAUAGCUCUGAAUGGAGAGGAGUUUUUCCAUAUAUUUUUUUCCUUUCCUUGGUAUGCUAAUGAAUUACUUUGGAAAAUCAUUUGGUUUUGAUUUCCAACAUAGACCAAAGAAUCAGGCAUGUAUUGUUUUGAUUCUGACCAGAAUGUGAUCUAGCUGAGAUUUAGUUUUGUUACAUUCAAAUUUCAGUUACAUUUUUUUUUUCUUUUGGAUAAUCUACAUGUGAAUUAACCAAAUAUGGUGAAUUUUGCAUAACAGAAUGCAGAAGAUAAUGAGUACGGGGAAGGAGUGAAUCCAUCGCUGGAGCUAGUUAUAACUUCACAGGACAUAACAGACACUGGAGCACCGGCGACAUUGUUGAUUUUCAAUAACGAGAAGGGGUUUUCAGCUAAAAACAUAGAGUCUAUAUGCAGUGUUGGGAGGUCCACCAAGAAAAGCAACAGGAAGCAGGGUUAUAUUGGAGAGAAAGGUACCUCCAUUCCUUGAUUCUUUCACUCAUAUUUUUCCCUUUUUAUGGUGUAAAUUUGAAAAGGAAACAGAGGAACGCCUACCUCUCUAUACUAAGCUUUAACUACAGAGCAGGUAGAUCCUCAAGUCUUAGAACUUAUAGAGUAAAAACACUUUAAUCGAGUCAAAAGUUAGCUUGAUCAAGUCAGCUAGAGCUUUCUUUCUUAUUAUCUUGAAUUAUGUGUUUGUAUAAGUUAUUUUUGGUUGUUCAGAACCAUCUAGUUAACCUCUAAUUUACAAACUUCUUAAUGGAGGUUGAGCAUUUGAAGUUCUUUUAAGAUAUGACGAUUGCCUGUAUUGUUCUCAUAAUUAGGAGAAAAUUUGGAGCUUGAAAAUUUAUCUAUGCAUCAUACAUGAUACUAAUGGAACUUGAAUUCACUAUGAUACAUAAAGUCUCAAAUGUCAUUUAAAUGACACAACAUAGGGAAGAAAUGAAAACGUAAGGCUUUAUCUAUUACAGUAGCUUACCAACAUCGAAUCUUGGUUCACUUUACCUACAAACAACAAUAUAGGGUGGUAAUGAAGAUCGAAGGGGCUAAUGCGUUUGGAUGGAUUAUUGGUUAAUUUUUGAAAACAUGACUGAUUCAACAUUAAGUCAAUGCAGUGUAGGCAUUAUAUUGAAACAUAUGCAACAGUUUAACAUACAAUCUAGGAUAAUCCUAUAAAUAUUAGGGAAAAUAAAUAAACUGGAUAAAAAUAAAACGAAAAAUGUACCAAUGAGAUUCCAGAUUCCCUCCCUUGCUUUCUGUAUGUGGUUCCCAAUGCUUACCCUUCCCCAUAAAGAAUGGUAUUAGAGCCUUAAAUCUUGAAUUGCUUUUCUUCUAGUGAAAUAUAUGCAUUUUAAAAUGCAGAUAUGAGAUAUAGAAUGCCCAUAUAUAAAUUUACCUUAGAAAUAUUAAGAAUAUGAAAGGAAGUUCUCAACAACAUGUGUGUUAGUACAAGUCAAAUAGGUGUACAAUAAAUGGAAUUGUUUCAUAUGCAUGGAGAUGCAUGAAUUCAAUAAUAGGAAACCAUCAGAAUGAUAUGACAGCAAAGUUGGCUUUGCAAUUAAAAUCCAACACUAACUGACCUUUUUUUUAAUUUGUAAUUACAAUCAUGUUGUUGGUGUUCCAGAGGAUCAUUUGAAGCAAAAUAUAUGAGCUCUUCCUAUAGCAGGCAAAUCAUGAUUAUCCCAAAUACUUAACUUUGUGCAGUGUGCUAACCUAAAAACACCCCCACCAAUGAAUUGUCCUAGUUUUCCCUCCUUUGAAAUUGGCUUUCUAUUAUUUUUCCCCAAAGCCAUUAACAAAAACAGAGUAGGCAUUUCCUUUCUGAUCUUUGAUGUUUUUUUAUGCAUGUUGUAGGACUCUUAUGGCCAUCUCAUGCGUUCAGUCCUUGAUUCCUGGAUUCCUUCCAUCAUAUUUUUACAUUCUUUAGUUACAGAUUUAUAUGCCACAAUUGCUGUAUUUUUAAAGGGAAACAGAGUAGCCCUUUACUCUCAUCCCUAAGCUUUAAGUAUCAGGUAGCUAGAUCCUAAUGUCAUAGAACUUGUGGAGCCAAAACAGUUUCUUCAAGUCAUAAGUUCGAUUGAUGAACACAGAUGGCUUUAUAUUUUCCUUAUUAUCUCAUAUUAUAUCUUUUUGUGAGUCAUUUUCAGUUGAGUAGAACUAAAUAAACUUAUUCAUUGAGCUGACGUGUUCAAGGGGAUGUUUUUUAUUUUCAGAAGCAUGCCUAAGAACAUUUGUGUAUGUACCCAUAACUAGGGGAGCAUUUGUGACUAGAACAUUUAUUAAUACAUGAUACAAGAUACUAAGAGAGCAUGAAUUCCCUAAGUUGACAUUGUAGUUACUUGGGAAGGGGUGGAAAUGGAGAUCAAAGGGCUCUAUCUCUUAAGGUUGAUUUCCUUAAGCUACAUAAAGACAUCAAUUUGAGUAGACUCGACUUAGUUGACUCAAUGCAGAAGAUUAGACAUUAAAUAUUGAAACAUUAGUAGCAAUUUAACAUAUAAUUUAGGUUAAUUAUAUAAAUAUUAAGAAAACUGAAUAUACGAAAUUAAACUGACAAGCAAAGGUAUUAGAACCUUAAAUCUUGAAUUUUAUUUCCUUCAUUGAUAUUUAAGGAUUUUAAAAUGCAGAAAGAAAUAUAGAAUAUGUCCAUACAAUGAAAUUAUUUAAGAAAUAUUGGUUGGAACUAUGGAGAGCAUGAAAGAAAAUAUAGCACACUGCACAGGACUAAGAAAAUGGGAAGAAAUACUUAGUUGUGUGCAGUGUGCUGACAGUGAGAAUUUGCCUCAGACUCCACACCAGCCCUAGGCCCAUCCACACACCCAAAAACAAAUAAAUAAAUAAAAGAAGAAGAAGAAGACAAGAAAAGAAAAGAAAAGAAAAAGAAGAGAAAGAACAACACAGCAGCACCGAUCUAUUGUUUUUCCUUCUAUGUUUUAAUUUUGUUAGGGAGGUUCUUCUACACACUGUUGUUCUUUUCAAAUUGCCUCUCUAUCAAAGCCAUUAACAAAAACAAAUCAUGUUCUAUGUGUGAUUAUUGAAUGUCUUUUUAAGCAUAUGGAAGACUUAUGGCCAUCAUAAGAAGUUGAAUAAUGCCCAAAUAUCACAUUUCAAAUGCCUGACCACUCCAUUACCAAUUAUCUUCACACCUCCAAGGUCAAAGCUUCUUUAGAAUUUCCUCACAACCAUUCUCAAUUAGAGUGUUUCAUGACCAUGAGUACUAAAAUUGACUGAUGACCUAGAUGAACAAUCAACAGUGUGAACAUGUGAUGACAAAUUUGUUUGUAGUUCUCAAUUAGUCUAAUGGGAACAAGUCUUUCUGUUAACCAAUUUGAUCCCUCUACCAGUUAUUUGUUAUUUAUUUUACUUAGUUACCUAUUAGGACUAUUUCUUAUGCAACUUGUCAUCUGGCUAAUAUGCAGGAAUUGGGUUCAAAAGUGUAUUUUUGAUCACAGCUCAGCCUUACAUAUUCAGUAAUGGAUAUCAGAUACGAUUCAAUGAAGAGCCUUGCUCGCACAGCAAUCUUGGGUACAUUGUCCCUGAAUGGGUUGAGCAGAAUCCAAGUCUUGCUGACAUAAAACAAAUAUAUGGUUCUCAUGCUGUGCUUCCAACCACUACUAUAAUCUUGCCUCUAAAGCCAGACAAGAUCAAACCUGUGAAGCAACAGCUCUCAAGUAUUCAACCUGAAGUUCUAUUAUUUCUUUCAAAGAUUAAGCAGUUUUCUGUCAAGGAAGAUAACAAGGAUCCAAGGCUCAAUACAGUGAAUGCUAUAUCUAUUUCAAGUGAAAUUAACUUUGUUACAAGGAAAAAUAUUGAUGCUGAUUCCUAUACUCUCCAUCUCUCCACGGAUGAAGCUAGUGAUGUGACUGAAAAAGAAUGCAGCUAUUAUAUGUGGAGGCAGAAGUUCCCUGUCAGGCAGGAAAAUCAAGUAGAAAGAAGACUUGGAGUGGAGGAGUGGGUUAUUAAGCUAGCAUUUCCGAUUGGACAGCGACUGAAUAGGGGGAUGAGCUCUCCUGGAAUCUAUGCAUUUCUUCCUACGGAGAUGGUUACAAAUUUUCCUUUCAUUAUUCAGGCAGAUUUUGUUCUUGCAUCAUCCAGGGAAACAAUCCUCUUGGACAACAAAUGGAACCAAGGCAUUCUAGAUUGUGUGCCUUCUGCUUUUCUUAAUGCCUUUAUUUCACUGGUUACAACAUCAGAAGAUGUUCCAGUUUCUACACUGACCCCAAUGUUUAAGUUCUUACCUAUCAACAGCUCUUCUUAUCCAAAGCUCAAUGUCGUGAGGGAGUCUAUCAAAGCAAAACUGCUUACAGAGAAUAUCAUACCGUGUGAGUCGUAUUCAGACCAGAAGAUCUUUCGUAAACCUUGUGAAGUGGGUAGGUUAAUGCCUUCUUUCUGGAAUAUCCUGAAAAAGGCAAGGAAGCAAGGGGUAAGCUUGCAUUCUCUAUCAUCCCAUGGAAGGUAUAUCCUGAAUUCUUCAUUUGAUACAGAGGAGCACGAUCACAUAUUGAAUUUCCUUGGUGUGGAACCUGUCAAUAGCGAAUGGUAUGCCAAGUGUAUCAUGAGUUCCAAGCUUGUUUUGGGAGUGACAGAGGAUGACUAUUUGGAGCUUCUACUCUUUAUUGCUGAGAAAUGGAGUUUCUCGUUCUAUAGCACUACUAUGAAGUAUGUGCCUCUCCUGAAAUAUGUUGGGCUUGACGGAAGGGUUGCUUUGUGUGCUAUAAGCAACGUCACAAUGCGGGAUGGUGAAAGUAUGAUUUGUAUGUCCCAUGAGCCUCGGCAUAUCUCAUGGAUGAUAGAUUGGAACAGGGAAUUUGGAUUUAUGACAGAUCGAUAUUUUAUGCCCAGAAGCACACAAGCAGCUAUAAUGUCAUUUUUUAGGAGAGAGACUCUGUUGGAAUGGCUUAAAAUUCAAGUUAAGGUUCGUGUUGUAGGCAUGUACAACUUUGCGGUCAUUCUUUAUAAUUCUCUCAAUGAUGACCGACAGCUUGCAAUUGCCUAUGCUCACUUCCUUUAUCAUUCGUUCUCAAAGAGUUAUCUACCAAAGGAGAAGGUUGAUUAUUUGUGUGGUAUUAUGCCACUUGUAGAUAACUAUGGGCAUGUGAUGAGACGAAGAAAAGGGGUUCUCGUCCCUGCCAAUGGAAGCAAAUGGGUGGGAUUGAUGGGUGCAAAUCCGUGGAGGGAAGAAGGCUAUGUUGAACUAGGAGAAGACUAUUUGCGCUCAGGAAAUUAUGCAGGUUCAUUCACCCCAGAAAGUCAGCUAAUAACAUUUCUCAAAACACAUAUUGCAGUUUCUGAUAUACCUGAUAUAUCUCCUCCCAACGCUGAGUUAUCUGUUGCAGAUACACCACUCACCAAGAAAAAUGCAUUCUUGCUGUUGGACUGGAUUCAUAAUCUGAAUUAUAAGGAAAAUCUGCCUGCUAAGUUCUUGGCAUCCAUUCGGACAGGAAGCUGGCUCAAAAUUUCCCUCAGUGACAGCCCUGGAUACAGGCCACCAUCACAGUCUUUUCUAUUUGCUUCAUCAGAUGGAAAUCUUCUUCAGGACGAGUCAGUGAUGGUUGAUAUUCCAUUGAUUGACCAAGAAUUUUAUGGCAAUGGCUUAAAUAAUUAUAAGGAGGAGCUCAAAAAAAUUGGAGUAAUGUUUGAAUAUCGUGACAUGUGUCAGUUUGCAGGGAAGCACGUAAUGUCUCUUGCAACUUCCUCUGCAUUGACCAAAUCUAAUGUGUUUCAAAUACUUAAUUUCAUCAAAUUUCUGCGGCUUAAAGUUCUUCCAGCUGAUGAGUUCAUCCAGACUAUCAAGGAUGGAAGAUGGUUGAAGACUUCCUGUGGUCACAGGUCUCCAGUUGGAUCUGUUUUAUUUGACCAAGAAUGGAAAGCUGCAUCACAAAUCAGUGACAUCCCCUUCAUCGACCAAGAUCACUACGGCAAGGAAAUCCUUCGUUUCAAAAUGGAACUCCAAUUGCUAGGUGUGGUAGUUGGCUUCAACAAAAAUUACCAGCUUGUUACUGAUCACUUAAAGUCUCAAGCAUGCUCAAAUCAUCCAACAGCCGAGGCUAUUCUUUUGAUAUUUGAAUGCAUGCGUGAUUGUGAGCGCAAUUCAAGACCAGCCGAUAAACUUAUACAGGCACUUAAAGGUAAUAAAUGCUUGAAGACGAACAUGGGCUACAAGUUUCCUAGUGAAUGUUUCCUGUUUAAUACUGAGUGGGGCUGCCUUCUGAAAGUCUUCCAUAAUGAUUUCCCACUUAUUGAUGAAGACUUCUAUGGGACCACCAUCUUUUCUUACAAAAGAGAGUUGGGGCAAGCAGGAGUAGUGGUAGAUUUUGAGGCGGCAACCCAGAAAUUUUCUCCUGUUUUCAAGAAACGUGCAUCCUCAUCUUCCAUUGGAAGAGAACAUGUUCUGUCUUUUCUCGCAUCUUACAGACAGAUUAAUAAGACAAACAACAAGUUUCCUUCAGAUUUUGUGUGCAGCAUCUACGAGGCAAAAUGGCUGCAAACACGCUUUGGUGAUCCUAGAUCUCCAAGAGAGUGCAUUCUUUUUGGCCCGGAGUGGGAACCUGUAAGCUCAAUUACUCUGCUUCCUUUCAUUGAUGACAGUGAUAAUUCCUACGGCAAGGGCAUUCAUGAAUACAGAAAAGAGCUGAAUAGCCUGGGCGUUACCAUCAAAUAUAGAGAUGGUGUGAGGUUUGUGGCUGCUGGUAUCUGUUUUCCCCAAGAUCCCAGCACUAUAACUCCAGAAAGUGUGCUCUCUCUGCUGCAGUGCAUAAAGAUUUUACAGAAAUAUGAUCCUCAUUUACCUGACAUUUUCCGGAAAAAGGUUUCCCAAAGUUGGUUAAAAACCUAUUAUGGGUAUAGGUCUCCAGACCAAAGUUUGUUGUUUGGCUCUGAGUGGGGUUCUUUCUUACAGAGGAAUGAUGGGCCUUUCAUUGAUGAAGAAUUCUAUGGCCCCAACAUUACAGCCUACAAGAACGAGCUCAGAGAAAUAGGAGUGACCGUUGAUGUGUCAAAUGGGUGCUCUUUGCUUGCCGGCUACCUUGAUUUUCAUUCUGAAUUUUCAACCAUUGUUCGAGUCUAUAAUUACUUGAAUAAACAC